This is a long non-coding RNA of Acinonyx jubatus (cheetah), 3175 nucleotides long. RefSeq lists it as uncharacterized. The record is from RefSeq and is a predicted model, not a curated record. NCBI's taxonomy places the organism in Eukaryota, Metazoa, Chordata, Mammalia, Carnivora, Felidae. The transcript is spliced from 2 exons.
GGUGUCUUUAGGUCUAAAGUGGGUCUUUUGUAAACAACAUAUACAUGGGUCUUGUUUUCUUAUCCAUUCUGUUACCCUAUGUCUUUUGAUUGGAGCAUUUAGUCCAUUGACAUUUAGAGUGAGUACUGAAAGAUAUGAAUUUAUUGUCAUUAUGUUGCUUGUAGAGUUGGAGUUUCUGGUGGUGUUCUCUGGUCUUUUCUAGUCUUUGUUGCUGUUGGUAUUUAUGUAUGUACAUAUGUAUGUGUGUAUGUAUGUAUGUAUUUUCAUCUUUUCUCCCCUCAGAGAGUCCCCCUUAAAAUUUGUUACAGGGCUGAUUUAGUGGUCACGACCUUUAAUUUUUGUUUGUUUGGGAAACAAUCUCUCCUAUUUUGAAUGACAGCCUAGCUGGAUAAAGAAUUCUUGACUGCAUAUUUUUCUGUUUCAGCACAUUGAAUAUAUCCUGCCACUCCUUUCUGGACUGCCAAGUUUCUGUGGAUAGGUCUGCUGCCAACCUGAUCUGUCUUACCUUGUAGGUUAAGGACUUUCUUUCCCUUGCUGCUUUCAGGAUUCUUUCCUUGCCUGAGUAUUUUGUGAAUUUGACUAUGAUAUGCCUUGUUGAUGGUCAGUUUUUGUUGAAUCUAACGGGAGUCCUCUGUGCUUCCUGGAUUUUGAUGUCUGUGUCUUUCCCCAGAUUAGGAAAGUUUUCCACUAUGAUUGUUCACAUAACCCUUCUACCCCUUUUUCUCUCUCUUCAUCUUCUGGGACACUAUGAUUCUGAUGUUGUUCCUUUUUAAUGAGUCACUGAUUUCUCUAAUUCUUAAAUCCUGCUCUUUUGCCUUAGUCUCCCUCUUUCUUCCUGCUUCAUUAUUCUCCAUAAGUUUAUUCUCUAUAUCACUGAUUCUCUGCUCUGCCUCAUCCAUCCUUGCCUCCAUGGCAUCCAUUGAGAUUGCAGCUCAGUUAUAGCAUUUUUUAUUUCAUCCGGAGUAGGUUUUACUUCUUUCAUAUCUGCAGAAAGGGAUUCUAAUCUAUUUUCGACUCCAGCUAGUAUUCUUAUUAUCGUGAUUCUAAAUUCUGGUUCAGACAUCUUGCUUGUGUCUGUGUUGGUUAAGUCCCUGGCUGUCGCUUCUUCCUGAUCUUUCUUUUGAGGUGAAAUCCUUCGUUUUGUCAUUUUGAAGGGAGAAAAGGAAGUAUUGAGGUUAAAAAAAUUAAAAUUAAACAAUUAAAAUUAAAAAAUUAAAAACAACACACCCACAAAAAAAAUCAAGUCAAUGAUGCUAUAUCCUAGGUGUGUUUGGUCUGGGUGUUGAAAGGGGCUUGAUAGAGAAAAAAGGGGAGAAAAAAGAAAGAAAAAAUCGUUUGAAAAUUCGAAAAAAUGAAUACACUGAAAUAGAAUAUAAUGAAAUGAUGGAAGUAAAAUAGAAUUUGAAAAAAUUUACACAAAAGUAAAAAAUGUAGUAGAAAAAAAUUAAAGAAACAUAUUUUUAAUAAACAUUGAAGGGGUGCCUGGGUGGCUCAGUCAAUUAAGCAUCUGACCUCUGCUCAGGUCAUGAUCUUGCAGUUGGUGAGUUGGAGCCCCACAUCUGGCUCUGUGUUGACAGCUCAGAGCCUGGACCCUGCCUCGGAUUCUAUGUCUUCCUCUCUCUCUCUGCUUCUCCCCUGCUCAUGCUCUGUCUCUGUAUCCAAAAUAAAUUUUUAAAAAAAUUUAAAAAAUUGAAAAUAAAAAUAAUUUUUUCUCUUUCUGUAUUCAAGAAAAAGAAAAGAAACAAAAAAGAGAAAAAAGAAAAGAAAAUUGAAUAGAUGGAUCAGCGAACAGACUGAAAUAAGAUUGAAAUUACUUCGUUUUUCCCUAGAAGUCAAACUAUGAAGCACUUUAUAGUUCAUAAACCAAGUAGGCAGAGAGACUUGUGUUCCUGAAGAGUGAGGUUGGCCCAGUUUGGCGGGGCUUAGUGCAAUGGCUCCAUUAUCCACUAGAUGGCUCUGCUUAGCUUCCUGGGAUGGAUUGUUGUGGCGCUUUUAGGUGUAUGUGCACAUGCGAGGGAGCGGUGAAAAUGGCGUCGUCCAGCUACCCAGUCUCUACUAUCAGAACUCUGUUCCCAGUCAGCAAUCGCGCACCCGUCCUUUGUCUUCAGCUUCCAUCCACUCCCUGCUUUUACACUGUUGUGACCAAGCCCCAGGCAGCACCUCCCUCCUUAGUUUUAUCUCAGAUGCGGCUGUUUUUCCUGACUGCUUACUUCUGAAGGAUUGUGGAUUUGACCCGUUCUGCCCCUCUGCGGGAGGGUGUCAUGGAGCAAUGGCCGGGUGCCAGCCUCACCAAGGAACAUUCGUGGGACUGUACUGAUGCCCAGAGAUUGUGGCUGGGUGCCAGCCCGCCCCAGAAAAACUUCACGCGAUUGUGUAGCAGCAGCAUUUCAGGGAUUAUGGCAAAUCACAACACGCAACUGGCACCAGGCUUCACCCGCAACAACCUUGUUCUAGCACCAGCAAAUGUGGCUGUUCUCCCAGGUCCACUGGUGCCUUUGCCUUUGGGGGACCCACACAGCCUCUACCAGAUGUUCUUCCAGCAGGGGAACUGCCUCUCUCUGUAUGGCUCGAAGACUCCGGGACUUCACUCUGCUCCUGGGGAUUCGCCCUUCUCACCAGAGCACCACUAGGGAAGAGAAUAUAGAGAAAUCUGGCUGAAGUCACCUGAACCAAGUGAUCACGGUUAAUGUUACUGGUUGAUAUGGACUCCCUGGUCUGAUGUUACUGGAACUGCAGUGUCACCUCCGUGGGAUUCUUCCCUCCGACUCAGAACGUCUGUAUAAUCAUGAGAGAACACCAGGCGAGUCUGAAUGGAGAGCUGUGCUACAGGAAAGCUAAUCACUACUCUUCAAAACAAAGUUACAAAAGAGAAGGAAAGACUGAGAAACCAUCACAGGUUGAACCCAAGGAAAGAAACCAAAUGCAGCAAGGUACCGUGGAUUGGACCCUGGAACAGAAACCUGAAUAAAACCCACAGUGUGGUUAAUAGUAUUGUACCAGUGUUAAUUUCUUAUUUUUGAUACAUGUACCAUAAUUAUACAAAUGUUUAUAAAUGGUUGUGUAAAUAUACCAGAGUUAUAUCUAAAGGAAUGAUGGGUGAAAGUUAUAUGGAAACUCUUGAUACUGUAUUUUCUUUUUGUUUUGUUUUUAUAAGUCUAAAGUUCUUUUAAUGUAA